CUGUAUAAGCAAACCAUGCUGCUUGCCUGUGAGGCCUGAUGUGCAGUGUGCAGUGUCUGCAAAUGACAGUCCCUCUGGUAGUGUUUGCGGCCUGUUGCUUGUGUAGGCUGCCCAAAGGGACUUCGAGAAGGGC
Molecule: small nucleolar RNA, 133 nt
Organism: Sorex araneus (European shrew)
Lineage: Eukaryota; Metazoa; Chordata; Mammalia; Eulipotyphla; Soricidae
Gene: SNORA70
Rfam family: Small nucleolar RNA SNORA70
About the family: snoRNA U70 seems to be exclusive to mammals and is a member of the H/ACA class of snoRNA which contain H (ANANNA) and ACA box motifs. H/ACA box snoRNAs are involved in the conversion of uridines to pseudouridines (5-ribosyluracil) a constituent of structural RNAs (transfer, ribosomal, small nuclear, and small nucleolar).
Source: Ensembl